CACGUAGGGUGCGAGCGUUGUCCGGAAUUAUUGGGCGUAAAGAGCUCGUAGGCGGUGUGUCGCGUCGGCCGUGAAAACCUGCAGCUUAACUGUGGGCUUGCGGUCGAUACGGGCAUCACUGGAGUUCGGCAGGGGAGACUGGAAUUCCUGGUGCAGCGGUGAAAUGCGCAGAUAUCAGGAGGAACACCGGUGGCGAAGGCGGGUCUCUGGGCCGAUACUGACGCUGAGGAGCGAAAGCGUGGGGAGCGAACAGG
RNAcentral lists this ribosomal RNA (254 nucleotides) under uncultured bacterium. RNAcentral describes it as "partial 16S ribosomal RNA". It matches the Rfam family "Bacterial small subunit ribosomal RNA", at positions 524 to 776 of the family's 1533-position model. The record is from RNAcentral.